AUAUGGGGGGACCAUCCUCCAAGGCUAAAUACUCCUGACUGACCGAUAGUGAACCAGUACCGUGAGGGAAAGGCGAAAAGAACCCCGGCGAGGGGAGUGAAAAAGAACCUGAAACCGUGUACGUACAAGCAGUGGGAGCACGCUUAGGCGUGUGACUGCGUACCUUUUGUAUAAUGGGUCAGCGACUUAUAUUCUGUAGCAAGGUUAACCGAAUAGGGGAGCCGAAGGGAAACCGAGUCUUAACUGGGCGUUAAGUUGCAGGGUAUAGACCCGAAACCCGGUGAUCUAGCCAUGGGCAGGUUGAAGGUUGGGUAACACUAACUGGAGGACCGAACCGACUAAUGUUGAAAAAUUAGCGGAUGACUUGUGGCUGGGGGUGAAAGGCCAAUCAAACCGGGAGAUAGCUGGUUCUCCCCGAAAGCUAUUUAGGUAGCGCCUCGUGAAUUCAUCUCCGGGGGUAGAGCACUGUUUCGGCAAGGGGGUCAUCCCGACUUACCAACCCGAUGCAAACUGCGAAUACCGGAGAAUGUUAUCACGGGAGACACACGGCGGGUGCUAACGUCCGUCGUGAAGAGGGAAACAACCCAGACCGCCAGCUAAGGUCCCAAAGUCAUGGUUAAGUGGGAAACGAUGUGGGAAGGCCCAGACAGCCAGGAUGUUGGCUUAGAAGCAGCCAUCAUUUAAAGAAAGCGUAAUAGCUCACUGGUCGAGUCGGCCUGCGCGGAAGAUGUAACGGGGCUAAACCAUGCACCGAAGCUGCGGCAGCGACGCUGAUGCGUUGUUGGGUA
RNAcentral lists this ribosomal RNA (788 nucleotides) under Escherichia coli. Its description in RNAcentral is "partial 23S ribosomal RNA". It matches the Rfam family "Bacterial large subunit ribosomal RNA", at positions 442 to 1230 of the family's 2925-position model. The record is from RNAcentral. Lineage: Bacteria; Pseudomonadati; Pseudomonadota; Gammaproteobacteria; Enterobacterales; Enterobacteriaceae.